Molecule: transfer RNA, 69 nt
Filed under: Cochylidia moguntiana
Lineage: Eukaryota; Metazoa; Arthropoda; Insecta; Lepidoptera; Tortricidae
Description: tRNA-His
Source: RNAcentral
ACUUAGAUAAUUUAAUAUAAAAUAUUGAUUUGUGGUGUCAAAAAUGUGAAUAAUAGUUCAUUUUAAGUU